This 853-nucleotide ribosomal RNA is filed under the name uncultured bacterium. RNAcentral describes it as "bacterial SSU rRNA". It matches the Rfam family "Bacterial small subunit ribosomal RNA", at positions 73 to 921 of the family's 1533-position model. The record is from RNAcentral.
AUCUCUUUUAGAGAUGAGUGGCGAACGGGUGAGUAAUACAUAGGUAACCUGCCCCUGUGCGGGGGAUAACAGGAGGAAACUCCUGCUAAUACCGCAUAGCCAUGAGCACCGCAUGGAGCUCAUGCCAAAUAUCCUUUAUGGGAUAGCGCAGGGAUGGACCUAUGGCGCAUUAGCUGGUUGGCGGGGCAACGGCCCACCAAGGCAACGAUGCGUAGCCGGCCUGAGAGGGCGGACGGCCACAUUGGGACUGAGACACGGCCCAUACUCCUACGGGAGGCAGCAGUAGGGAAUUUUCGGCAAUGGGGGAAACCCUGACCGAGCAACGCCGCGUGAGCGAAGAAGGCCUUCGGGUCGUAAAGCUCUGUUGUAAAGGAAGAACGGCGCAUACAGGAAAUGGUAUGCGAGUGACGGUACUUUACCAGAAAGCCACGGCUAACUACGUGCCAGCAGCCGCGGUAAUACGUAGGUGGCGAGCGUUAUCCGGAAUCAUUGGGCGUAAAGAGGGAGCAGGCGGCCGCAAGGGUCUGUGGUGAAAGACCGAAGCUAAACUUCGGUAAGCCAUGGAAACCGGGCGGCUAGAGUGCGGAAGAGGAUCGUGGAAUUCCAUGUGUAGCGGUGAAAUGCGUAGAUAUAUGGAGGAACACCAGUGGCGAAGGCGACGGUCUGGGCCGCAACUGACGCUCAUUCCCGAAAGCGUGGGGAGCAAAUAGGAUUAGAUACCCUAGUAGUCCACGCCGUAAACGAUGGUCACUAAGUGUCGGGGGUCAAACCCCGGUGCUGCAGUCAACGCAAUAAGUGACCCGCCUGAGUAGUACGUUCGCAAGAAUGAAACUCAAAGGAAUUGACGGAAGGG